This 331-nucleotide long non-coding RNA is filed under the name Elaeis guineensis (African oil palm). RNAcentral's name for it is "long non-coding RNA (EGUI_LNC020697)". Lineage: Eukaryota; Viridiplantae; Streptophyta; Magnoliopsida; Arecales; Arecaceae. The record is from RNAcentral.
AGGAUCAUCAUGAGGACGAUGAUAGAUCCAGAUAGACUGACACACAAAUCAUUUCCUUCGGGAUAGAUGAGUCUCCGAUCUACUGUGUAGAGACACAGGACGAUGAGUGCGGGUGGUUGUUAGAGAAUAAUUAGUACUGAGCGUGACCAUACGAAAGAUCACUUAGAUUUCUAUUCAAUCAUUAGUAAUUAUCUCGAUGCUGUAGUUGUGUGACUGGUCCUUUGACUUGAGAUGGUACUGCUGCUUGCAGUGAGGUUGCUGAAGUUUGACUGACACAUAAAUAUGGAUCUCAAUAAGCCCUUAUAGUGGAUGUCGGCGAUAGUUGGUCUAC